AGAGUUUGAUCAUGGCUCAGGAUGAACGCUAGCGACAGGCCUAACACAUGCAAGUCGAGGGGCAGCGGAGAGGUAGCAAUACCUUUGCCGGCGACCCGGGCGCACGGGGUUGAGUAACACGUAUGCAAUCCACCUGUAACAGGGGGAUAACCCGGAGAAAUCCGGACUAAUACCCCAUAAUAUGGGCGCUCCGCAUGGAGAGCCCAUUAAAGAGAGCAAUUUUGGUUACAGACGAGCAUGCGCUCCA
RNAcentral lists this ribosomal RNA (247 nucleotides) under uncultured bacterium. RNAcentral describes it as "partial 16S ribosomal RNA". It matches the Rfam family "Bacterial small subunit ribosomal RNA", at positions 8 to 240 of the family's 1533-position model. The record is from RNAcentral.